UGGGGGAUAUUGCGCAAUGGGGGCAACCCUGACGCAGCAACGCCGCGUGAAGGAUGAAGGUUUUCGGAUUGUAAACUUCUUUUAUUAAGGACGAAACUUGACGGUACUUAAUGAAUAAGCUCCGGCUAACUACGUGCCAGCAGCCGCGGUAAUACGUAGGGAGCAAGCGUUGUCCGGAUUUACUGGGUGUAAAGGGUGCGUAGGCGGCUUUGCAAGUCAGAUGUGAAAUCUAUGGGCUCAACCCAUAAACUGCAUUUGAAACUGUAGAGCUUGAGUGAAGUAGAGGCAGGCGGAAUUCCCCGUGUAGCGGUGAAAUGCGUAGAGAUGGGGAGGAACACCAGUGGCGAAGGCGGCCUGCUGGGCUUUAACUGACGCUGAGGCACGAAAGCGUGGGUAGCAAACAGGAUUAGAUACCCUGGUAGUCCACGCUGUAAACGAUGAUUACUAGGUGUGGGGGGUCUGACCCCUUCCGUGCCGGAGUUAACACAAUAAGUAAUCCACCUGGGGAGUACGGCCGCAAGGUUGAAACUCAAAGGAAUUGACGGGGGCCCGCACAAGCAGUGGAGUAUGUGGUUUAAUUCGAAGCAACGCGAAGAACCUUACCAGGUCUUGACAUCCAACUAACGAAGUAGAGAUACAUUAGGUGCCCUUCGGGGAAAGUUGAGACAGGUGGUGCAUGGUUGUCGUCAGCUCGUGUCGUGAGAUGUUGGGUUAAGUCCCGCAACGAGCGCAACCCUUGCUAUUAGUUGCUACGCAAGAGCACUCUAAUAGGACUGCCGUUGACAAAACGGAGGAAGGUGGGGACGACGUCAAAUCAUCAUGCCCCUUAUGACCUGGGCUACACACGUACUACAAUGGAUGUUAACAGAGGGAAGCAAGACAGCGAUGUGGAGCAAACCCCUAAAAACAUUCUCAGUUCAGAUUGCAGGCUGCAACCCGCCUGCAUGAAGAUGGAAUUGCUAGUAAUCACGGAUCAGCAUGCCGCGGUGAAUACGUUCCC
This 1000-nucleotide ribosomal RNA is filed under the name uncultured organism. RNAcentral describes it as "bacterial SSU rRNA". It matches the Rfam family "Bacterial small subunit ribosomal RNA", at positions 355 to 1375 of the family's 1533-position model. The record is from RNAcentral.